CUAAGGAGCACUUCUCCGGACAUGCCCGCACAGGUGGGGAUGUUGUUCCGGCAGAGACCGUUUCGGAUGCAUACGUCAUCCGGCGGACGCUCAUGGGUGGAACGCUGACAGCUUUCCCUGCGUAUCGGUGCGUCACAUGGCGUGCUGGUGGGUGAAUAUAUCGACACACUGUUGGGUCCUGAGAGAACACGCGAAAGCGAUUCUUUCUGGGAAGAGAUAACGAUCCGAUCGGGUUCCCGGUCAUACCGACCUCAGUCUUCGGGCUGGGGUGCUGGUGUCGGAAGCGGACUUGGUUGGGUGUGUUGUUUGAGAACUGCACAGUGGACGCGAGCAUCUUUGUUAGUAAGUGUUUAAGAGCGUAC
Molecule: unclassified non-coding RNA, 362 nt
Filed under: Nocardia brasiliensis
Lineage: Bacteria; Bacillati; Actinomycetota; Actinomycetes; Mycobacteriales; Nocardiaceae
Description: 16S-23S ribosomal RNA intergenic spacer
Source: RNAcentral